Molecule: ribosomal RNA, 479 nt
Filed under: uncultured bacterium
Lineage: Bacteria
Description: partial 16S ribosomal RNA
Rfam family: Bacterial small subunit ribosomal RNA
Source: RNAcentral
ACGAACGCUGGCGGCGUGCUUAACACAUGCAAGUCGAACGAUGAACCUCGAAAUGAUUUCUUCGGAAAGAUUUUUGAGAGGAUUAGUGGCGAACGGGUGAGUAACGCGUGAGCAACCUGCCUUAGACAAGGGGAUAGCCUCGGGAAACCGUGAUUAAUACCCUAUGAGACUCCACUUACGAGUGUAAGAGAAGUUAAAGCUAUUGCGGUCUAAGAUGGGCUCGCGUCUGAUUAGCUAGUUGGUGAGAUAAAAGCCCACCAAGGCGACGAUCAGUAACCGGCUUGAGAGAGUGAACGGUCACAUUGGAACUGAGACACGGUCCAAACUCCUACGGGAGGCAGCAGUGGGGAAUAUUGCACAAUGGGGGCAACCCUGAUGCAGCGACGCCGCGUGAGCGAUGAAGGAAUUCGUUUCGUAAAGCUCUGUCCUUGGAGAAGAUAAUGACGGUAACCAAGGAGGAAGCACCGGCUAAAUACGUG